This 292-nucleotide ribosomal RNA is filed under the name uncultured bacterium. RNAcentral describes it as "partial 16S ribosomal RNA". It matches the Rfam family "Bacterial small subunit ribosomal RNA", at positions 505 to 796 of the family's 1533-position model. The record is from RNAcentral.
GUGCCAGCAGCCGCGGUAAGACAGAGGGUGCAAACGUUGUUCGGAUUUACUGGGCGUAAAGCGCGUGUAGGCGGCUUGGCAAGUUGGAUGUGAAAGCCCACGGCUCAACCGUGGAAGCGCAUCCAAAACUGCUUCGCUCGAGUCUCGGAGAGGAAGGUGGAAUGCUUGGUGUAGAGGUGAAAUUCGUAGAUAUCAAGCAGAACACCUGCGGCGAAGGCGGCCUUCUGGACGAUGACUGACGCUGAGACGCGAAAGCGUGGGGAGCAAACAGGAUUAGAAACCCUGGUAGUCC